This 497-nucleotide ribosomal RNA is filed under the name uncultured bacterium. RNAcentral's name for it is "partial 16S ribosomal RNA". It matches the Rfam family "Bacterial small subunit ribosomal RNA", at positions 28 to 507 of the family's 1533-position model. The record is from RNAcentral.
GAUGAACGCUGGCGGCGUGCCUAAUACAUGCGAGUCGAGCGAACGGACGAGAAGCUUGCUUUUCUGAUGUUAGCGGCGGACGGGUGAGUAACACGUGGAUAACCUACCUAUAAGACUGGGAUAACUUCGGGAAACCGGAGCUAAUACCGGAUAAUAUUUUGAACCGCUUGGUUCAAAAGUGAAAGACGGUCUUGCUGUCACUUAUAGAUGGAUCCGCGCUGCAUUAGCUAGUUGGUAAGGUAACGGCUUACCAAGGCAACGAUGCAUAGCCGACCUGAGAGGGUGAUCGGCCACACUGGAACUGAGACACGGUCCAGACUCCUACGGGAGGCAGCAGUAGGGAAUCUUCCGCAAUGGGCGAAAGCCUGACGGAGCAACGCCGCGUGAGUGAUGAAGGUCUUCGGAUCGUAAAACUCUGUUAUUAGGGAAGAACAUAUGUGUAAGUAACUGUGCACAUCUUGACGGUACCUAAUCAGAAAGCCACGGCUAACUACGUG